RNAcentral lists this microRNA precursor (125 nucleotides) under Daucus carota subsp. sativus. RNAcentral describes it as "sRNA DCAR_mi00011". The record is from RNAcentral. Lineage: Eukaryota; Viridiplantae; Streptophyta; Magnoliopsida; Apiales; Apiaceae.
UAAUAUUUUGAUUAAUGGGUUUUGUUUGAGGAAUAAGUUUGAUGAGGCGAUGGAGGUGUUGAAGAGUAUGGGGGAGUAUAAUUGUUUGCCGGAUAGUGUCACGUAUAAUACCUUGUUGGAUGCUU